GAGUUUGAUCUUGGCUCAGAUUGAACGCUGGCGGCAUGCCUUACACAUGCAAGUCGAACGGUAACGCGGGGCAACCUGGCGACGAGUGGCGAACGGGUGAGUAAUGCAUCGGAACGUGCCCAGUAGUGGGGGAUAGCCCGGCGAAAGCCGGAUUAAUACCGCAUACGACCUACGGGUGAAAGCGGGGGAUCGCAAGACCUCGCGCUAUUGGAGCGGCCGAUGUCAGAUUAGGUAGUUGGUGGGGUAAAGGCCUACCAAGCCUACGAUCUGUAGCUGGUCUGAGAGGACGACCAGCCACACUGGGACUGAGACACGGCCCAGACUCCUACGGGAGGCAGCAGUGGGGAAUUUUGGACAAUGGGCGCAAGCCUGAUCCAGCCAUGCCGCGUGCGGGAAGAAGGCCUUCGGGUUGUAACCGCUUUUGUCUAGGAAGAACGCUCCGAGCUAAUACCUUGGGUAAUGACGGUACCUGAAGAAUAAGCACCGGCUAACUACGUGCCAGCCGCCGCU
Molecule: ribosomal RNA, 510 nt
Filed under: uncultured beta proteobacterium
Lineage: Bacteria; Pseudomonadati; Pseudomonadota; Betaproteobacteria
Also listed under: 1 other name
Description: bacterial SSU rRNA
Rfam family: Bacterial small subunit ribosomal RNA
Source: RNAcentral